Molecule: long non-coding RNA, 6307 nt
Filed under: Homo sapiens (human)
Lineage: Eukaryota; Metazoa; Chordata; Mammalia; Primates; Hominidae
Description: non-protein coding lnc-PUS10-4:1
Source: RNAcentral
UGAAGAACAUUUAUGAAUCUCUUGAUGAAGUUACUAUAAAAGACACUUUGGAAGGUGAUAACAUGUAUACUUGUUCUCAUUGUGGGAAGAAAGUACGAGCUGAAAAAAGGGCAUGUUUUAAGAAAUUGCCUCGCAUUUUGAGUUUCAAUACUAUGAGAUACACAUUUAAUAUGGUCACGAUGAUGAAAGAGAAAGUGAAUACACACUUUUCCUUCCCAUUACGUUUGGACAUGACGCCCUAUACAGAAGAUUUUCUUAUGGGAAAGAGUGAGAGGAAAGAAGGUUUUAAAGAAGUCAGUGAUCAUUCAAAAGACUCAGAGAGCUAUGAAUAUGACUUGAUAGGAGUGACUGUUCACACAGGAACGGCAGAUGGUGGACACUAUUAUAGCUUUAUCAGAGAUAUAGUAAAUCCCCAUGCUUAUAAAAACAAUAAAUGGUAUCUUUUUAAUGAUGCUGAGGUAAAACCUUUUGAUUCUGCUCAACUUGCAUCUGAAUGUUUUGGUGGAGAGAUGACGACCAAGACCUAUGAUUCUGUUACAGAUAAAUUUAUGGACUUCUCUUUUGAAAAGACACACAGUGCAUAUAUGCUGUUUUACAAACGCAUGGAACCAGAGGAAGAAAAUGGCAGAGAAUACAAAUUUGAUGUUUCGUCAGAGUUACUAGAGUGGAUUUGGCAUGAUAACAUGCAGUUUCUUCAAGACAAAAACAUUUUUGAACAUACAUAUUUUGGGUAAGUUUGGUAAAUUUCAUAGUAGAUAUUUUACACAUUUUAAAAAAAUCUUACGUGUGAAUUUUAAAUGAUUAUUUUUAAAUUCUAGAUUUAUGUGGCAAUUGUGUAGUUGUAUUCCCAGUACAUUACCAGAUCCUAAAGCUGUGUCCUUAAUGACAGCAAAGGUAAUAAAUAUAUGAACUUUAAAUAAUUCUGUCAAAAUUUACUACUUUAAAAUGAUUGAAGCUUUUUUGCUUUAUCUUUUCUUACAGUUAAGCACUUCCUUUGUCCUAGAGACAUUUAUUCAUUCUAAAGAAAAGCCCACGAUGCUUCAGUGGAUUGAACUGUUGACGAAACAGUUUAAUAAUAGUCAGGCAGCUUGUGAGUGGUUUUUAGAUCGUAUGGCUGAUGACGACUGGUGGCCAAUGCAGAUACUAAUUAAGUGCCCUAAUCAAAUUGUGAGACAGAUGUUUCAGCGUUUGUGUAUCCAUGUGAUUCAGAGGCUGAGACCUGUGCAUGCUCAUCUCUAUUUGCAGCCAGGAAUGGAAGAUGGGUCAGAUGAUAUGGAUACCUCAGUAGAAGAUAUUGGUGGUCGUUCAUGUGUCACUCGCUUUGUGAGAACCCUGUUAUUAAUUAUGGAACAUGGUGUAAAACCUCACAGUAAACAUCUUACAGAGUAUUUUGCCUUCCUUUACGAAUUUGCAAAAAUGGGUGAAGAAGAGAGCCAAUUUUUGCUUUCAUUGCAAGCUAUAUCUACAAUGGUACAUUUUUACAUGGGAACAAAAGGACCUGAAAAUCCUCAAGUUGAAGUGUUAUCAGAGGAAGAAGGGGAAGAAGAAGAGGAGGAAGAAGAUAUCCUCUCUCUGGCAGAAGAAAAAUACAGGCCAGCUGCCCUUGAAAAGAUGAUAGCUUUAGUUGCUCUUUUGGUUGAACAGUCUCGAUCAGAAAGGCAUUUGACAUUAUCACAGACUGACAUGGCAGCAUUAACAGGAGGAAAGGGAUUUCCCUUCUUGUUUCAACAUAUUCGUGAUGGCAUCAAUAUAAGACAAACUUGUAAUCUGAUUUUCAGCCUGUGUCGAUACAAUAAUCGACUUGCAGAACAUAUUGUAUCUAUGCUUUUCACAUCAAUAGCAAAGUUGACUCCUGAGGCAGCCAAUCCUUUCUUUAAGUUGUUGACUAUGCUAAUGGAGUUUGCUGGUGGACCUCCAGGAAUGCCUCCCUUUGCAUCUUAUAUUCUGCAGAGGAUAUGGGAGGUGAUUGAAUACAAUCCUUCUCAGUGUCUAGAUUGGUUGGCAGUGCAGACACCCCGAAAUAAACUGGCACACAGCUGGGUCUUACAGAAUAUGGAAAACUGGGUCGAGCGGUUUCUUUUGGCUCACAAUUAUCCUAGAGUGAGGACUUGCAGUAGAAGAACUGUUUAACCUGAUGCAGCUGUUUAUAGCUCAGAGGCCAGAUAUGAGAGAAGAAGAAUUAGAAGAUAUUAAACAGUUCAAGAAAACAACCAUAAGUUGUUACUUACGUUGCUUAGAUGGCCGCUCCUGCUGGACUACUUUAAUAAGUGCCUUCAGAAUACUAUUAGAAUCUGAUGAAGACAGACUUCUUGUUGUAUUUAAUCGAGGAUUGAUUCUAAUGACAGAGGUAAAUAUUCUAUUGCAUUUUACUGUGGAUAUUAUCUCAUUUUAAUGUUCUCACCAAGACUUACUUUAUAGACAUUUAGAGUUUAUGGUAAACUGUUUUACAGGUGGCAAGGUUUUAAUUAUAUAGAUCAGUAAACCUGAAUUUAUAUCCCAAGAAUAAUUAGGUCAUAAUUUUUAGGGUGCUGUUCCUUUUUCCAUAGUAAUUCCAUACUUUUCCCAUUAUUUUGUAUUUAGAACAGCCAUUUGAAAUAGACUAGUUUUAUUCAUUUGUAGGGACAAAAAUGAAAUACAUGUGAUUUCAUUAAGGGCACACAUAAUUUCCCAAAAGCCUACUUAUUUGACAGUAUAGAAACUGAGGUUACCAUUGUGAACCCGGAAAAUCUGAGACAGGUCUCAGUUAAUUUAGAAAGUUUAUUUUGCCAAGGUUGAGGACGCGCCCGUGACACAGCCUCAGGAAGUCCUGAUGGCACGUGCCCAAGGUGGUUGGGACACAGCUUGAUUUUAUACAUUUUAGGGAGACAUGAGACAUCAAUCUGUAUGUAGGAAGUACAUUAGCUCUGUCCAGAAAGGCAGAGACAACCCAAAGCAAGGCCUCUCCUUCCUCUGGGGCCUUCCUGGUCACAGGUAUGUGAGAGACAGAUGGUUGCGUUCUUUUGAGUUUCUGAUAAGUCUUUCCAAAGGAGGCAAUCAGAAUAUGCAUCUAUCUGGGUGAGCAGAGGGAUGACUUUGAAUAGUAUGAGAGGCCGAUUUGCCCUGAGCGGUUCCCAGCUUGAAGGGGCCCAAGAUAUUUUCCUUUCACACCAUCCUCAGAGGAAACCAGAAGGACUAUUACAGGGUUAAAAUCAGCUGUUUAUGCUUCCUAUAAUUCUUGAACAUCCACAAGUAUGAGAUGGCUGCAGAGUCACCAGAGGUACGUGAGCCCUUUAGUCUGAUAAACAUGCCAAGAGUACCAUAAGAAUUCACAGGUAGGAUGUUUUUUCAGUUAAUGAUAAUAAAAAAUAAGAGAACAGGUUUGCACUUUGAAGAAUGUGGAUUUGCAAAGGUAAGGGGGAAAACAUUUAGAUAAAUGACAAUAAGCACUGAGGCAAAGAAAUAUUGGUUAUGUUUGAGGAAGGCUAAGUAUUAAAAAAAAGGUAGGUGAAGAGGAGUAGUAAGAAUUUCAUUCUUUAAAAUGCAACAGAUGUUUAUGCUGCUUUGGUUGUAUUUUUAGAAAAAAAAAAUUUUUUUUUAAUGCAACAGAUGUUUAAAUGUCUACCUCUGUGCCAAGCACUGUGGUAGGUACUAGGGACACAGCAGUGAACAAGACAUACUGGUUUCUGUCCCCACAGCUUACAAGUUACAUACUGUACAAGUACAUUGUUCAUAUUAGGUACUGCUGCAGGUUCUGGGCUAAGAAUUUUAACAUUUGAACUGUGGGUAUUACAGUGUGUAAGCUGUAGUGAACUGGUGGAAGAGGAUUCAAAGAAGGGUGCUGUAUAGUAAAAUAGGAAAAAAACUAAGGGCUUAAUUAAGCUAAUACAGUUAAAGGAAUUAAAAGAUUUAACAAGCCAAUAUAAAGGAAAUGAAUUCCUACCUUUUGCAGCUCUUUUUACCUCUUUCAGGCCUACUCUUUUGAGUAUGGCUGACAGUCACUUUACCAUUGUCUUUGGACAGAGACCCUGGAAAGUUGGUUAAAGCAGUUGCCUAUUCUCCCUAAUCUUUUGUGACCUACUGCUUUGUAAUUUUGAAGACUUAACAAUCUUAGAGCAAGUACUUUUUUAAAAAAAUGUGAUUAAACUAUUUCUUCAGACUAGAAUAUACACACAAAAUAGCAGAGCUCUGAAGGUGAGGAAUGUUUAAAAGAGCUUAAUGAGAGUUUAACUUCAGGAUAGAAAGCAAAUACGUUUGCUUUGCACACAUGUGCACACACAGUCUGAGUCUGAAAACAUCUAUCGUAGAGGACGAGUACUACCAUUUUGUGGCUCAGUAAGCAAAAAUGAAAUUAAGUUUUCAAUUUUUUCAAAUCAUUUGUAGUCUUUCAACACUUUGCACAUGAUGUAUCACGAAGCUACAGCUUGCCAUGUGACUGGAGAUUUAGUAGAACUUCUGUCAAUAUUUCUUUCGGUUUUGAAGUCUACACGCCCUUAUCUUCAGAGAAAAGAUGUGAAACAAGCAUUAAUCCAGUGGCAGGAGCGAAUUGAAUUUGCCCAUAAACUGUUAACUCUUCUUAAUUCCUAUAGUCCUCCAGAACUUAGAAAUGCCUGUAUAGAUGUCCUCAAGGAACUUGUACUUUUGAGUCCCCAUGAUUUUCUUCAUACUCUGGUUCCCUUUCUACAACACAACCAUUGUACUUACCAUCACAGUAAUAUACCAAUGUCUCUUGGACCUUAUUUCCCUUGUCGAGAAAAUAUCAAGCUAAUAGGAGGGAAAAGCAAUAUUCGGCCUCCGCGCCCUGAACUCAAUAUGUGCCUCUUGCCCACAAUGGUGGAAACCAGUAAGGGCAAAGAUGACGUUUAUGAUCGUAUGCUGCUAGACUACUUCUUUUCUUAUCAUCAGUUCAUCCAUCUAUUAUGCCGAGUUGCAAUCAACUGUGAAAAAUUUACUGAAACAUUAGUUAAGCUGAGUGUCCUAGUUGCCUAUGAAGGUUUGCCACUUCAUCUUGCACUGUUCCCCAAACUUUGGACUGAGCUAUGCCAGACUCAGUCUGCUAUGUCAAAAAACUGCAUCAAGCUUUUGUGUGAAGAUCCUGUUUUCGCAGAAUAUAUUAAAUGUAUCCUAAUGGAUGAAAGAACUUUUUUAAACAACAACAUUGUCUACACGUUCAUGACACAUUUCCUUCUAAAGGUUCAAAGUCAAGUGUUUUCUGAAGCAAACUGUGCCAAUUUGAUCAGCACUCUUAUUACAAACUUGAUAAGCCAGUAUCAGAACCUACAGUCUGAUUUCUCCAACCGAGUUGAAAUUUCCAAAGCAAGUGCUUCUUUAAAUGGGGUAAGAACUAUGCAGAGGCGGCGGCACACACUUUUAAACUGUCCUUCAGUUAACUGUGUGGCCUUCAUAUGAUUUUACUCUCGUAACUUUAACUUACUGAUUCAAACUCUUAAGCCAUGUGCGACAAAAAAACAAGUUUUAAAUACACGUUUACUAUGCCUUGUAUGUACACAGCACACUCUAUCACCUUGGAAGCUACAAGCUGGUAUCAUUAAAUGCUGAAAGGUAAUAAAGGGAACAUCUUAGUGGUCUUAUCUCUAGUUGGGUAUAUUUUUGGAAACAAUACUUGUGAUGUUUCUAUUACUGCCUAUGGCUCCUAUGUAACUGAAACAAUUAAUGAUCUACUGAUUUAAAAAAGGCAGUUAAAUCUAGAGCAUUAGUUGCCUUGUGCAGACUCCCAUGACAGCCAUGUCCUAGAAUAAUGGAACACUCUGGAAAUGGGCUAGAAUGUUGAGCAGCAGCCUCCCAAAUCACAGUAUGCAUAAAAGCCAAAACAGAUGACAGAGCUCAGUAAGGAAGACCUUACUAUUUGUGACAUCCAUCAGAAUUUUAACUUGAGAAACUGAUUUCAAGGUUUGUUUUUAAAAUUCUUAUAUUUCCUUUUCCAUUUUUCAGAAAACACUAUUUCAGGCUUUGGUCUGACUUACUGGUUCGUGGGCAUAAAAUAAUGCUAUUAGUGACUUUAAGAACUAAUGAGGCUGGGCACGGUGGCUCAUGCCUGCAAUCCAAGCAUUUUGGGAGGUCGAGGCCGGUGGAUAACGAGGUCAGGAGAUUGAGACCAUCUCAAUGGCCAACAUGGUGAAACCCUGUCUCUACUAAAAUAGAAAAAAUUAAGCCAGGCGUGGUGGCGGGCGCCUGUAGUCCCAGCUACUUGGGAGGCUGAGGGAGGGGAAUCGCUUGAACCCGGGUGGUGGAGGUUGCAGCGAGCCGAGAUUACACCACUGCACUCCAGCCUUGCCAAAGAACAAGACUCCAUCUCAAAAAAAACAAAAAC